Xyrichtys novacula (pearly razorfish) is the source of this 1542-nucleotide non-coding RNA. The record is from the annotation of a GenBank genome assembly. Lineage: Eukaryota; Metazoa; Chordata; Actinopteri; Labriformes; Labridae.
GCUAACCUGCACUGUGUCCAUCUUCAAGUGGAACAAACCAGCAGCCAAUCAGGAGUCAAGCUGAUGAGCUUCAACCACACCAAUAAACCCAACCUUUUAUGCAAAACAAAAUGCAAAUGUGUUGAGAAACUCUGAAGGCCAGCUAAACUUUAACUCUGAGUGGCUGUGAUGUUUGAGACAACAGCUGUUUUCCAUCUGUGCAUCCAGUAAAAGACCAACAUCAGUUAGUUCAACGAGGGAUUACUCCAGCCUUUACAAAGCGCCUCCUCAUGACCCCUGUUUCCCACUCCUUCUGUGCCUCCAUUUAUCUUAAUCCUAACAGACAAGAACAAUAACUUUCUCUCAAGUGAGGCCAGUUCUUUAUACCUACAGGUCUGAAGUCUGUGUGCCAGCAGACUCUCCUCUCAUCAGGCUUAUUCAGAGGCUUGCCCUCUAUGUAAAGGCAGAGGACGAAGUUUACUCUCUUCUCCAACUCCAUUAAAUAAACAUUGAAUGUUACACUCUCGGCAAGCUCCAGCUGACAGCCGAACUGUGUCACAUUCAAAGGGCACAGGAACUUUUACACUGCAGCUGCUAAAUCUGUGCAUGAAACUGACAAGAGCCGGCUGACAAAGCAGUUUUGUGUUUAUAGGUGUUGUGUGGCGUUUGAGAAUACACACCCAAUAAAUGUUUUAACACAGUAGGAGGUGUGUGUGUGUGUUUGUGUGUGAUGGUCUGUGCAGCUUUUGAAAAAUUAAAGGUAUAUGUUGUUUGUGGUCUACUUAAAACAAAAUCAGCUGUGGACCCACUAAGAGUAGAUGGGUCAUCAACCUGAAGAAGUUUUUUUUGAUGUUACUGAAAAAACUAAGAUUCAUACUGAUGCCUUUUCAUGAUAUACUGAAGCAAACACAGCUAUCAGCAACAUAUCUGAUGAUUUUCAAUGUGUAAUUUUUAGUUCCUUAAGUCAGUGUGUGUGUGUGUGUGUAAUUACAGUAAAUGUUACAUUUGACAGUCAAUAGUCAGCAGGAUUAUUGACAGAAGACACAACUCAAGCAUGUAGAGGACAAAAUAAGUAAAUACUGCUUUGUCCACAGGGUGGCGCCAAAGGUGGCCAAAUCAGAAAGUUCCUCACAGGAGCUUUAAUUUUUAAACCCAGUCAUUAUUAAGGAUAAGAAACCCUUCUGAAACUUAAUGGGUGCUUCAACUUAGGCUUUAACUUCUUUAGUAUAAUAAUGAUAGAAACUCGACUGCUGCCUGAGAAAAACUCAUUUCAAUACUCUCAGUGUAAAUACUCAUGAUAGAGGAAUUCCCAGACCCUACAAUCAAUGAAAGAUCUAAAGAAGGCUGGUUACUAACAGUCCACUCCAGUAAUGGGCUUUCAAAAAUAUUAAGUAAAGUUAAAUAAAUUUAAUUUAAACAUAAAUAUAUAAUAAAAUACAAAUCUCUGAACUUUGAAGUCAGGUAAGGCACCUUCGAAAAAACUAUUUUUAUGGGACAGCCAUCAUAAAACUUUGACAAAAUAAACACAGAGCUGAAAGGUGGAUUCACUGAACCCUUUAAAGG